GACGAACGCUGGCGGCGUGCCUAAUACAUGCAAGUAGAACGCACAGUUUAUACCGUAGCUUGCUACACCAUAGACUGUGAGUUGCGAACGGGUGAGUAACGCGUAGGUAACCUGCCUGGUAGCGGGGGAUAACUAUUGGAAACGAUAGCUAAUACCGCAUAAUAUUAAUUAUUGCAUGAUAAUUAAUUGAAAGGUGCAAUUGCACCACUACCAGAUGGACCUGCGUUGUAUUAGCUAGUAGGUGAGGUAACGGCUCACCUAGGCGACGAUACAUAGCCGACCUGAGAGGGUGAUCGGCCACACUGGGACUGAGACACGGCCCAGACUCCUACGGGAGGCAGCAGUAGGGAAUCUUCGGCAAUAGACGAAAGUCUGACCGAGCAACGCCGCGUGAGUGAAGAAGGUUUUCGGAUCGUAAAGCUCUGUUGUAAGAGAAGAGCGGGUGUGAGAGUGGAAAGUUCACACUGUGACGGUAUCUUACCAGAAAGGGACGGCUAACUACGUG
Molecule: ribosomal RNA, 505 nt
Filed under: uncultured bacterium
Lineage: Bacteria
Description: partial 16S ribosomal RNA
Rfam family: Bacterial small subunit ribosomal RNA
Source: RNAcentral